ACCUGGGUGGCUCAGUCGGUUGAGUGUCUGACUUUAGCUCAGGUCAUGAUCUCAUGGUUUGUGGGUUCAAGUCCCACAUCAGACU
This is a transfer RNA of Felis catus (domestic cat), 85 nucleotides long. It matches the Rfam family "tRNA". Rfam says of the family: Transfer RNA (tRNA) molecules are approximately 80 nucleotides in length. Their secondary structure includes four short double-helical elements and three loops (D, anti-codon, and T loops). The record is from Rfam. NCBI's taxonomy places the organism in Eukaryota, Metazoa, Chordata, Mammalia, Carnivora, Felidae.